This is a long non-coding RNA of Helianthus annuus (common sunflower), 1920 nucleotides long. RefSeq lists it as uncharacterized. The record is from RefSeq and is a predicted model, not a curated record. NCBI's taxonomy places the organism in Eukaryota, Viridiplantae, Streptophyta, Magnoliopsida, Asterales, Asteraceae. The transcript has 5 exons.
ACAUUUAGAAUAGGAUAGGGAUUGGGGAAUAGUGGUACCGUUCAACGGGCCAACCGGCGUCGCGGGCAAGGGCGACAAGUAGAAGUUUCCGUUUCCACUACCCCGCAGAUUGUUAUUAAUCGGUGUCGUCCAGUGUUGCUAAUCCUCUUCACCUUUUCAAUCCAGUUCCACUAUAAUAAUUGGAUAGCUCGGUUAUUUUUUCAAUAUUGAUAUUACAACUGAUGUUCUGUUACAGGAAACUACCUAUAAUAAUUAUCUAUUAUUAUGUUCCCCUUAAUCUCAACUGUUUUUUGGAAUGAUCCUGAUCGUUUAAAAGACUCAACUUUUAAUCUGGUUCGUUUAAAUUCACAAUUUUCUUCUAGAAGCAGAGGUUGGCGACGGUUGUCUAACCGCCUCUAAAAUCCCACCCACGUUCUGCAACAACUGCCCUCACUCUUCAAUCCCCUUUCAAUCUCCACACCCACAUUGAUGUCACCUCUACCCCCACAUCUCUAGCCUUCCUUCCCUAACCCUAAUCGACCCUACGAUUAGUGGUCGAUUUAAGAGAUCCUAACGAUGAACAAAAAGCUUUUGGAACGUGAUGCGGAUCAAACCGUAGAAGGAUCCAAUGCAGGUUUGAAGUCAACUUCGUCGGUUUUCUUGAAGUUUCGUAUGGGGUUCACUGCAACGAUAAAUCGGAGAAUGUGGAGCGAUUUGAGUACCAGGGAUUUUGUGUCGUUGCUUGCUGCGCCUCACAGUUAAAAUCCACAGGAACUCACCCCUUUGUCUAGGUCUAACAGUUUCUUUUCUAAUCAAGUUGUUCCCUAAAUUAUGUUAAUUCGAUUGCUUAGUUGAAUUCUUUGUUUACAAUCUUAUUCAAUUUCCAUAUCGGAUUGUAGACAUAAAGUUUGUAAUGUUGAGGGGAGUAUCAUUUAUGUUUAACAAAAAUGUUGUGGUGACAGGUGAUGUUUUGGGGGUCAGUUGUGCUGGCUUUGAAGAAACAAUUGAGUCAACUACUUGUCUUAUAUGGAUUAUCGCAUUGUUAUGCUUUUAUAAGAACGGGUCGGGUAAUGUGUCAAAAGUAAGGUAGGUUGGAUUUGGCUAGCUGACCCACAGUCAUUAUCCGUUUAUGUGGAUUUAUAAAUAUGUGAAUAUGGAUGAUUUGUGCGGGUAGAAACGGGUCAGCUUGGGUUGGGUUAGGACUUACAAGUUACUGGAUGAUGAUGACAAGAAGUGACAGACCUGGCAGCUCUGUUAAGUCUAAAAAGACCAAUAUACAAUAUACAGGUGGGAAGUUUCAGAAAAAAGAGUGAAACUCAAGAAGAUGAUGAGGGAGCUAUAAAUUUGAAAGAAGAAAGACAAGUGGAACAAAAAGUUACCCAUGAUGAAUAUGAUGGUUCUAAGAAUGAAGAAGAAUAACUGGAUGACCAAACACAAGAGGAUCACAUAGAUGCCCUCCUUGACUAGUGUUAGUUUUUUGUCUUGCGGCAUGAUACUUCAGUUCGUUUAAUACUUAUUCGGCGAGUAGAAUGCGGGGGCUCAGAACAAAAGGGUGAAUAAUGAAGAUUGGGCUAAAGACUGUCCCAGCACGAAUAAUGUUUCUAUUGCUUAUGGUGGUUAGAAUACCAGGAAGAUAUGGGAGUGCAUCUGGUCAGCAUGUUGGUGGUUGUUGACUUUUAGUCUUUUAGAGGCUAAAAUUCACACUGACACCACCUCACAUUACACACACAAACGAUGUAAAUAGUGCUUUAUUAGUGAACUUUUCUUCUUAUAAUUGUAGUUUUUUUUGUUAAAUUUAGAUGUGUAAGUUUCUUGAGAUGAAUAUUUCAUAUUCUUGUAACAAUAGAAGGCCAGAUGUCUAUGUUUUGGGUUUUACUUUCAUGUUUUGAUUGGUUUAGUGUAGAAUAAUGCAGUUGGAUCCCUAAACAUGUUUAUUCUCAA